Molecule: small nuclear RNA, 105 nt
Organism: Rana temporaria (common frog)
Lineage: Eukaryota; Metazoa; Chordata; Amphibia; Anura; Ranidae
Source: RefSeq, a predicted model, not a curated record
GUCCUUGCUUCGGCAGGACAUAAAAAAUUGGACCAAUACAGAGAAUAUUAGCAUGACCCCUGCGCAAGUAUGAUGCAAAUUCAUUAAGCAUGCCAUCAUUUUUCU